RNAcentral lists this non-coding RNA (191 nucleotides) under Terriglobia bacterium. RNAcentral's name for it is "6S RNA". It matches the Rfam family "6S / SsrS RNA". Rfam says of the family: E. coli 6S RNA was the first non coding RNA to be sequenced, but its function was unknown until recently. It consists of 184 nucleotides that fold into an extended hairpin structure with a large single-stranded internal bulge. Lineage: Bacteria; Pseudomonadati; Acidobacteriota; Terriglobia. The record is from RNAcentral.
GCCGGCCUGCAAAGUUGGUGCUGGUGGUAACCGGAUUUUGAACCAACACCUCAAUGAACGGGAGCCCGACUCGGCUUCUGAUCCGGUGUGCAACGUUCCGCCAUGCGGAAAUGCCUAAAGGAUUGCGGCGGGUUCCCACCUUGCUGAGCAAGGUUCAUUGACGGCCCACCACACGGCCCCGCGGGUCGGCU